AAGUCGUAACAAGGUUUCCGUAGGUGAACCUGCGGAAGGAUCAUUAACACGUAUCCAACGUUAAAAACACCCCUGUGAACCCGUUAAUCUUGCUCCUCACGCCCUGCACGCCUAGCAAUCCCUGGUAAAUCAUUGUCUGAACAGAUUUUGAGUCAGGGACCUCUGCCGAUUGUGAUAUUUUAUAGCUACGGUUGAGCGAUUGCAUCUAGUGACCUGGCAUCCCCAAGUAAUCAGUGUCUGAAAGUGUCAUUGAUUAUGUAAGGAUGGCGCAGUCACGAUCGCUGUAGGCCCACACGGCCGGCGACCGGGUCACCGGGCUCUGCCCCUUUACGACAACACAGUACGAAUUGGCCGCGCGUGAAAUUCGCACGGCACCAAAAACCGAACAACUGUUAACAAUGGAUAUCUUGGUUCUC
This 416-nucleotide unclassified non-coding RNA is filed under the name fungal sp. RNAcentral's name for it is "partial internal transcribed spacer region". The stretch from base 1 to 46 matches the Rfam family "Eukaryotic small subunit ribosomal RNA", at positions 1786 to 1831 of the family's 1831-position model. Lineage: Eukaryota; Fungi. The record is from RNAcentral.